AAUAUCCCCCUGCACUUAGGUUCCAGCCCCUUUACACAACUUGAAAGGCGCAGUUCUUACCACUUCAUGGCAGCUCCUGCCACGAAAGUCUCUUGCCAUGGCUAAUUGGCUAUUAGCAAACCGUGGCACGUGUGUAUAUACCUCGGCGAUGGCAAAAAGUACUGCCGUUACCGCGGCAGAUUUGCCAUGGUUUCAAGGCAGCUUCGGAAAAUGGUUUCGGUACGUGGUAUGACCAUGAAUGUUGCGUGAAUGAAAACCAUGAAUGGGUUUUUUGUUCUAUGGAUGACUGGAUGAUGGUAGGUGAGUACUGAUGUGCCUGAUUAGAUUUAGUGCAUUUCGACUUUGGUAAUUCCAGUUACAGAGUUGUAAGAUUUGUGAGCUGUUAUCCAUGCAAGACUCUGUGGUUUAUAGAAUUUUUCGGACUGUCUGAUAGCUGGAUAGUCUGCCAGUACGGUACGGGCACGGUAAAGCAAUCAUUGAACUCUAAUGGUAGGUGAAUUGCUAGGUCUCUGUUAAUUUAAAUGAAAUUUUUCUGAGAAAUAUUCUACGCAAAUGCAAUUACAAAAUGUUUUAAUAUAUGACGUCUAAGCAAAUAUAGCAUAUUCUGUAUUGUAUUGCUCUUUAAACAAGAAAUUCUUCUACUGUUGUGAACAAAGUUUCAUAGUUUCAGAUUACAGAUCCAUCUCAAGGGAGUGUCACUAUUUACGAUCCUAUUGGCCAUCAUGCAUGAAGAGACUUAUGCUGAUACUCUGAUGGAGAAUUGGAGAUUUGUGAAUGCCGGAGCAAUCUUAACAGGAUGUACAACAAACUUUGAACAUUCAACAGGCAUCUGUCAAAUUUCCAGAAUCCAUUUUGAAAAGUUUCUAUUGGAAGCCACAGGAUGUUGAGUAUCAGCUUGAGGUCACUACUCAUCGCGUAUGCAAGAAAAUUUUACUCAUUUUUCCGGUUGGUUAGAAUCUGAGGGCGAUGAAUGUGAUGGGUGUAAAAGAUGGUGCCACAAAUAUUACACUGAUUUUGCUUGUAGCGGGGAGUUUUUCUGUGACCACUGCACAUAAAACUUGAGUUCUUGUGUAAUUUUCUUUAAUAAAAUUUAAUAACAUGCA
This is a non-coding RNA of Styela clava, 1103 nucleotides long. The record is from RefSeq and is a predicted model, not a curated record. Lineage: Eukaryota; Metazoa; Chordata; Ascidiacea; Stolidobranchia; Styelidae.